RNAcentral lists this long non-coding RNA (355 nucleotides) under Homo sapiens (human). RNAcentral describes it as "non-protein coding lnc-GLT8D1-2:1". The record is from RNAcentral. Lineage: Eukaryota; Metazoa; Chordata; Mammalia; Primates; Hominidae.
GUGGUCACUGGGUCUGUGAGCAGUUCAAGGAGCAGUGAGAUGUCAUCAUCAAAGGAUCGACCAUUAUCAGCCAGAGAGAGGAGGCGACUAAAGCAGUCACAGGAAGAAAUGUCCUCUUCAGGCCCUUCAGUGAGGAAAGCGUCUCUGAGUGUAGCAGGGCCAGGAAAACCCCAGGAAGAAGACCAGCCCUUGCCUGCCCGACGGCUCUCCUCUGACUGCAGCGUCACUCAGGUGCAUUACGUACUCCUAAGAGAGAAGGUGGACAGUCUACAUCUGGCAGGCCUAAUGCAGUAAACCUUUUAAAUGUCAGCUCCAUUUAUUUUUGGGACAGGGCCAGCUUGUUAUAUCUUUUCAC